GUCCACGCUGUAAACGAUGAGAACUAGACGUUGGCCAGCUUGGUCUGGUCGGUGUCGCAGCUAACGCGAUAAGUUCUCCGCCUGGGGAGUACGGCCGCAAGGUUGAAACUCAAAGGAAUUGACGGGGGCCCCGCACAAGCGGUGGAGUAUGUGGUUUAAUUCGAUGCAACGCGAAGAACCUUACCUGGUCUUGACAUGCUAGGAAUCCCGCAGAAAUGUGGGAGUGCCGCAAGGAACCUAGACACAGGUGCUGCAUGGCUGUCGU
Molecule: ribosomal RNA, 265 nt
Filed under: uncultured bacterium
Lineage: Bacteria
Description: partial 16S ribosomal RNA
Rfam family: Bacterial small subunit ribosomal RNA
Source: RNAcentral